UACGUAGGGGGCUAGCGUUGUCCGGAUUUAUUGGGCGUAAAGAGCGUGUAGGCGGCCAAGUAGGUCUGGUGUGAAAACUCGAGGCUUAACCUCGAGAUGUCAUCGGAAACCAUCUGGCUAGAGUCCGGAAGAGGAGAGUGGAAUUCCUGGUGUAGCGGUGAAAUGCGCAGAUAUCAGGAAGAACACCAAUUGCGAAGGCAGCUCGCUGGGACGUUACUGACGCUGAGACGCGAAAGCGUGGGGAGCAAACAGG
RNAcentral lists this ribosomal RNA (253 nucleotides) under uncultured bacterium. RNAcentral's name for it is "partial 16S ribosomal RNA". It matches the Rfam family "Bacterial small subunit ribosomal RNA", at positions 524 to 776 of the family's 1533-position model. The record is from RNAcentral.